UACAGAGGUCUCGAGCGUUAGGCGGGAUCACUGGGCUUAAGGCGUGUGUAGGUGGCUCAUUAAGUACCUUGUGAAAUCCCACGGCUUAACCGUGGAACUGCUUGGUAUACUGGCGGUCUUGAGCCAGCUAGGGGCUACCGGAACAAAUGGUGGAGCGGUGAAAUGCGUAGAUAUCAUUUGGAACGCCAAUGGUGAAAACAGGUAGCUGGGGCUGUGCUGACGCUGAGACACGAAAGCCAGGGGAGCAAACGGG
Molecule: ribosomal RNA, 253 nt
Filed under: uncultured bacterium
Lineage: Bacteria
Description: partial 16S ribosomal RNA
Rfam family: Bacterial small subunit ribosomal RNA
Source: RNAcentral